Molecule: long non-coding RNA, 318 nt
Organism: Ornithorhynchus anatinus (platypus)
Lineage: Eukaryota; Metazoa; Chordata; Mammalia; Monotremata; Ornithorhynchidae
Exons: 2
Source: RefSeq, a predicted model, not a curated record
GGCCUUGAGCACAAUUAGUCAUGGCAACCUGACACAGAAUUAAGAACACAGAUGGCCUCUGUCCCCAGAGAGCUUACAAUCCAAGAUCGACUGAGCUCAACCCAGAUGACUAUUCAUGAUUUAUGCUUCAGCACCUGCAUCUGUACAAGCACUGCUCAGAGAAUGUACUGGAAAAUCCAAUCAUGUAGAGCAAGAAUGUAAAAGUAUGAAGCCCAGAUCCACACAGCAUCAUGGAUUAAGUGAAAUUGAAAGUUGAUUGAAUGUUCCAACAAAGUUUUGUGGAUUUAAAAAAAAACACAACAGCAGGGCUUAUUCUUA